CGGGGGGGGGUGCUAUACAUGCAAGUCGAGCGCGGGAAGCGAGUGGAAGUCCUUCGGGACGGAUACUCGUGGAACGAGCGGCGGACGGGUGAGUAACACGUGGGCAACCUACCUGUAAGACCGGAAUAACCCCGGGAAACCGGGGCUAAUGCCGGGUAACCAUUCGGUUCUCCUGAACCGAAUGUAAAAGGAUGGCUUCUUGCUAUCGCUUACAGAUGGGCCCGCGGCGCAUUAGCUAGUUGGUAAGGUAACGGCUUACCAAGGCGACGAUGCGUAGCCGACCUGAGAGGGUGAUCGGCCACACUGGGACUGAGACACGGCCCAGACUCCUACGGGAGGCAGCAGUAGGGAAUCUUCCGCAAUGGACGAAAGUCUGACGGAGCAACGCCGCGUGAACGAUGAAGGUCUUCGGAUCGUAAAGUUCUGUUGUGAGGGAAGAACAAGGAUCGUGCGAACAGAGCGGUCCCUUGACGGUACCUCACGAGGAAGCCCCGGCUAACUACGUGCCAGCAGCCGCGGUAAUACGUAGGGGGCAAGCGUUGUCCGGAAUUAUUGGGCGUAAAGCGCACGCAGGCGGUUCCUUAAGUCUGAUGUGAAAGCCCGUGGCUCAACCACGGAGGGCCAUUGGAAACUGGGGAACUUGAGAACUGAAGAGGAGAGUGGAAUUCCACGUGUAGCGGUGAAAUGCGUAGAUAUGUGGAGGAACACCAGUGGCGAAGGCGACUCUCUGGUCGGUUUCUGACGCUGAGGUGCGAAAGCGUGGGUAGCAAACAGGAUUAGAUACCCUGGUAGUCCACGCCGUAAACGAUGAGUGCUAGGUGUUAGGGGGCUUCCACCCCUUAGUGCUGAAGUUAACGCAUUAAGCACUCCGCCUGGGGAGUACGGCCGCAAGGCUGAAACUCAAGGAAUUGACGGGGGCCCGCACAAGCGGUGGAGCAUGUGGUUUAAUUCGAAGCAACGCGAGACCUUACCAGUCUUGACAUCCUUGGCUACUUCUAGAGAUAGAGUCCCUUCGGGACAGUGACAGUGUGCAUGAUGUCGUCAGCUCGUGUCGUGAGAUGUUGGGUU
RNAcentral lists this ribosomal RNA (1068 nucleotides) under Salimicrobium sp. C7. Its description in RNAcentral is "bacterial SSU rRNA". It matches the Rfam family "Bacterial small subunit ribosomal RNA", at positions 37 to 1081 of the family's 1533-position model. The record is from RNAcentral. Lineage: Bacteria; Bacillati; Bacillota; Bacilli; Caryophanales; Bacillaceae.